GUCAGACGCGGCAAUGGACGUGAAAGCCUCAGGAGCUCCAGAGAGCCAGGCCGGUUUCAAAGCCUGAGGCUGCAGCCAGCCCGAGCACGGGGUCACUUCCGAGGUCACUGGCCGGACAAGCAGGUCAAUGUUAGCAGGAAACCUACAUGUCGUGGCUGGUAUUCAAUGGACUGUUACUCCGAAUGUAGCCAGACAAGCGCCAGGCACCCCCAAACAUCUGUAAACGCUGACACCGUGAACAGUCGUGAUU
Myotis brandtii (Brandt's bat) is the source of this 250-nucleotide long non-coding RNA. RefSeq lists it as uncharacterized. Lineage: Eukaryota; Metazoa; Chordata; Mammalia; Chiroptera; Vespertilionidae. The record is from RefSeq and is a predicted model, not a curated record. The transcript is spliced from 3 exons.